This 72-nucleotide transfer RNA is filed under the name Gasterosteus aculeatus (three-spined stickleback). It matches the Rfam family "tRNA". Rfam says of the family: Transfer RNA (tRNA) molecules are approximately 80 nucleotides in length. Their secondary structure includes four short double-helical elements and three loops (D, anti-codon, and T loops). Further hydrogen bonds mediate the characteristic L-shaped molecular structure. tRNAs have two regions of fundamental functional importance: the anti-codon, which is responsible for specific mRNA codon recognition, and the 3' end, to which the tRNAs corresponding amino acid is attached (by aminoacyl-tRNA synthetases). tRNAs cope with the degeneracy of the genetic code in two manners: having more than one tRNA (with a specific anti-codon) for a particular amino acid; and 'wobble' base-pairing, i.e. permitting non-standard base-pairing at the 3rd anti-codon position. Lineage: Eukaryota; Metazoa; Chordata; Actinopteri; Perciformes; Gasterosteidae. The record is from Rfam by way of RNAcentral.
GCGAUAGGGGUAUGGUGGUGAGCAUAGCUGCCUUCUAAGCAGUUGACCCGCGUUCGAUUCCCGGCCAUCGCA